CGUCUGUCUUUUUGUGUUUACGACAGAACGGCAGUAUAAUGGAGGGCCUGGUACUGUGGAAGAACAACGUGGAUAAGAGGUUCGAGGGAGUAGAGGAUUGUAUGAUCUGUUUCUCCGUUAUUCAUGGAUCCAACUACUCUCUGCCCAAGAAGGCCUGCCGCACCUGCAAGAAAAAGUUCCACUCUGCCUGUCUGUACAAGUGGUUUACCUCUAGCAACAAGUCCACCUGCCCUCUGUGUAGAGAGACCUUCUUCUAGAAACAAGUCCACCUGCCCCCUGUAGAGACCUUCAAGCAACAAGUCCACCUGCCCCCUGUAGAGACCUUCAAGCAACAAGUCCACCUGCCCCCUCUGUAGAGAGAUCUAAUCGGAACUACGUUACCAUGGAUACACAGCGUCACUGUUCCGUUGCUAUGGAUGCACAGAGACAGUUUGGUUGUAUAUUUGUACGUAUCUCUCUCCACAACCUUUUAUAGAUCAAUGCUUCUCAAUUGUUCUUUUCCUCGGGACCCAAAUUGAACCAGGUUUUCUGUCGCGAUCCAAUAUUCACAUUUUGAUUUUUGUUGUUGUUGUUGCCAAAAUGCAAUUUGGAUUUUUUUUUUAAAUACUAUUUUUUGACAGUAAAUGUAGCAAUUAUAUUAGACAUGGGGAACAAUAUUCCCAUUUUUUUUUUUUUUUUUUCAUUAAUUCCAUAUUGCUCACAAUCUUGAUGAAGAAUAUUGGCAAGCUCACACAAUCUGCUAAAUCACACUGCUAAUAGCUUUAUAUGGGAAAAUAGUGUGAUUGAAGAAAAAUGUAAUUUUUCUGAGAAUUAAAAUGAUUUAAAUGUAGGCUAAGGAUAAUCUUUUACGUACAUUCUACCUGGUGUUAGUUGUUUCAGUUCAGACUAGUAUCUCAAAAACAACAAAAAAAUAUAUAAAAAUGUAUUUCACUCAGACACCCGCGACCCAUUCAAAACCUUUGGGCUACGACCCACCGGUUGGCAACCACUGCUUUAGAAGCUCUGUUGACAGCGGUUGUAACUCGAGGUCAAAGUUGAGGAGUAAAGAUAUAUUUUAGAAGUACUAAAUGUUUUACGUCCAGUAGCCAAUGAGGAGCCAGGAAUCGGAUCAGCGCCGGGUGAUGACAUCAGAGCAGGACGACAGAUGGGUUGAGUCUCCUCCCCCCCCGAAUAGAUUUCUGACGCAUGCCAGAUCUCACAACGUCCGGGAUAUGUGUUUAACCACAUCACAUGUUAUAGCAAUCUGAUGCCCCGACUGCACAGUCGAUGACGUGGCACGCAACCAUUGGUUGAUGCAACGCGCACGCUUCUAGUCGGGCAGGAACUCGACCAGAAUGUUCCGUCUGAAGGAUGCAAUCAAUUCACUUGGUCAUCUGGUGUGAUUGGCACAGAGCAGUGAUGUUAUAUAUAUACAGACUGAUGAACACAAAGUGGAUUCAUUUGAGAUAAAUAAAGAGGAUUUAUAUAUCAGGAACUUGAAUCUCUAUAGUGAUGAUGACAAAGAUAGUAUUACUUGAUUGUAUUUUAACACACAGUAUAAUAACAGAGAGAGAGAGAGAGAUAACUAUAGCCUGGUCCCGGAUCUGUUUGUGCUCUUGCAAACUCCAUUGCUCAUUGUCAAGCCAAAACAUGACAGAUUUACAAGGAGUCGGCAUGACAACGCCAACAGACUUGGCAGCACGACAGCGCAGACUGGCACACGGGAUAGUGGAUCUGCUCUUUAUUCUAGCCUUGUUGUUGUGGUUCAGCGUGAACGAUGUCUAUUCCUUUGUCUGCCAUUCCUCUGUGUCUGUCUGGUUGUAAUCUGACUGUUCUUGCGGUGUUGAAAUGAUACGUCAUUAGCCCAGUAAAAAACAGACAACUC
This is a non-coding RNA of Salvelinus sp. IW2-2015, 1864 nucleotides long. The record is from RefSeq and is a predicted model, not a curated record. NCBI's taxonomy places the organism in Eukaryota, Metazoa, Chordata, Actinopteri, Salmoniformes, Salmonidae.